This is a non-coding RNA of Helianthus annuus (common sunflower), 104 nucleotides long. Lineage: Eukaryota; Viridiplantae; Streptophyta; Magnoliopsida; Asterales; Asteraceae. The record is from Rfam.
AGACCGUGAUGUGGGCAUUUCCUUAAGAGCUCCUUGAACCUUUCCCAUGUCUGCAAUGAUUCCCCGUCUUCUUGAGAGUAGAUAUUGAUCCCGGUCAUGAGUUU